GCAAACGCUGGAACAGUACGACAUCACGGUUACGCAGGACGAAGCGGUUAAAAAAAUGUUCCGUGCUGGCCCUGCCGGUAUCCGUACUACCCAGGCGUUCUCGCAGGAUUGUCGCUGGGAUUCGCUGGAUGACGACCGCGCAGCGGGUUGCAUCCGCUCGCUGGAAUAUGCCUAUAGCAAAGACGGCGGUCUGGCGGUGCUGUAUGGCAACUUCGCCGAAAACGGCUGCAUUGUGAAAACCGCAGGCGUGGAUGACAGCAUCCUUAAAUUUACCGGCCCGGCUAAAGUGUAUGAAAGCCAGGACGACGCGGUAGAGGCGAUUCUCGGCGGCAAAGUAGUGGAAGGCGAUGUAGUCGUGAUCCGCUACGAAGGGCCGAAAGGCGGGCCGGGAAUGCAGGAAAUGCUCUAUCCGACCAGUUUCCUGAAGUCGAUGGGGCUGGGCAAAGCCUGCGCGCUCAUCACCGAUGGGCGUUUCUCCGGCGGUACUUCGGGUCUUUCCAUCGGCCACGUCUCGCCGGAAGCGGCCAGCGGCGGCACUAUUGCGUUGAUUGAAGAUGGCGACACUAUUGCGAUUGAUAUCCCGAACCGCAGCAUUCAGUUGCAGUUGAACGAGGCUGAAAUCGCCGCACGCCGUGAGGCGCAGGAGGCUCGUGGCGACAAAGCCUGGACGCCGAAAAAUCGUCAGCGUCAGGUUUCGUUUGCCCUGCGUGCCUACGCCAGCCUGGCGACCAGCGCCGAUAAAGGCGCGGUGCGCGAUAAAUCGAAACUGGGAGGUUGAUGAUGGCGGAAUCUCAACCACUGUCAGUCGCGCCGGAAGGGGCGGAGUAUCUGCGCGCGGUGCUACGCGCGCCAGUAUACGAAGCGGCGCAGGUGACGCCGCUGCAAAAAAUGGAAAAGCUCUCGUCACGUCUGGAUAACGUUAUUCUCGUCAAACGCGAAGACCGGCAGCCGGUACAUAGCUUUAAGCUGCGCGGCGCUUACGCGAUGAUGGCCGGAUUGACCGAAGAACAAAAAGCCCACGGCGUGAUUACCGCGUCGGCGGGGAACCAUGCACAGGGCGUGGCGUUUUCCUCCGCGCGGCUUGGCGUGAAGUCUCUGAUCGUCAUGCCAAAAGCAACGGCGGAUAUUAAAGUCGAUGCGGUACGCGGUUUUGGCGGCGAAGUGCUGUUGCACGGCGCUAAUUUUGAUGAAGCGAAAGCGAAAGCUAUUGAACUGGCGCAGCAGCAGGGUUUUACCUGGGUGCCGCCGUUUGAUCACCCAAUGGUGAUCGCCGGGCAGGGCACGCUGGCGCUGGAGCUGCUUCAGCAGGAUUCGCAUCUCGAUCGUGUCUUUGUGCCGGUUGGCGGCGGCGGCCUGGCGGCGGGCGUAGCGGUACUGAUCAAACAAUUGAUGCCGCAAAUCAAAGUGAUUGCCGUCGAAGCGGAGGAUUCCGCCUGCCUGAAAGCGGCGUUGGAAGCCGGUCAUCCAGUGGAUCUCCCGCGCGUUGGGUUAUUUGCUGAAGGCGUGGCGGUAAAACGCAUCGGCGACGAAACCUUCCGCCUGUGCCAGGAAUAUCUCGACGACAUUAUUACAGUCGAUAGCGACGCUAUCUGCGCGGCGAUGAAAGAUCUGUUUGAAGAUGUGCGUGCGGUGGCGGAGCCGUCCGGCGCGCUGGCGCUGGCGGGGAUGAAAAAAUAUAUCGCCCUGCACAAUAUUCGCGGCGAACGCCUGGCGCACGUCCUUUCCGGCGCCAACGUCAACUUCCACGGCUUGCGCUAUGUGUCUGAACGCUGCGAGCUGGGGGAACAGCGCGAAGCGUUACUGGCGGUGACCAUUCCGGAAGAAAAGGGGAGCUUUCUCAAAUUCUGCCAGUUGCUUGGCGGGCGUAUGGUCACCGAAUUUAACUACCGUUUUGCCGACGCGAAAAAUGCCUGUAUUUUUGUCGGCGUACGCGUCAGUCAGGGGCUGGAGGAGCGAAAAGAGAUUAUCACCCAACUGUGCGACGGCGGUUAUAGCGUAGUGGAUCUCUCCGACGAUGAAAUGGCGAAGCUGCAUGUGCGCUAUAUGGUCGGCGGGCGUCCAUCCCAUCCGCUACAGGAACGCCUCUACAGCUUUGAAUUUCCGGAGUCGCCCGGCGCGUUGCUCAAAUUCCUGCAUACGCUUGGCACGCACUGGAAUAUUUCGCUAUUCCAUUACCGCAGCCACGGUACCGAUUAUGGCCGCGUGCUGGCGGCGUUCGAGUUAGGCGAUCAUGAGCCGGAUUUCGAAACCCGGCUGCAUGAGCUGGGCUAUGAAUGCCAUGAUGAGAGCAAUAACCCGGCGUUCCGGUUCUUUCUGGCGGGUUAAUUCAGCGUUUAGUUUUUCAGGCCCACAAAGUAAAGUGGGCCUGAUAUCCAGAUAUGAUCUUCCCUCAGUUAUUGGGCUUUUCUGCCAGCCCGGAGCAUCCACUCAUUUAAUUUUGCGAGACGUUUUCCAGAAGGCGCCCAAUCUGCUUGUGGUGAAACUCGGCUCACCAUAUCGUUAGCACCGCCAUCAUUUGCACCUGUUAAAAGCAAUGUAUAAAAUUUUAUACACAAGGGUGUUAUGUUACUCACCCGAGCUCUCUCCAAUGAAAAAGAAAUUCGAUGGGUGGGAUCUUCUCUGGAGGAUCUCCUGGCUUUUCCCAUAACGGUACGUAAAGCAGUCGGUUAUCAGCUUCACAAAAUUCAGUAUGGAAUUGAACCCGAUGACUGGAAACCGUUUUCAGAAAUUGGGGCUGGGGUAAAUGAAAUUCGUAUUCGUGACAACAAUGGUAUCUAUCGCGUUAUGUAUGUCGCUAAGUUUGAAGAAGCACUCUACGUUUUGCAUAGUUUCCAAAAACAGACGCAACAAACCAGUCAGCAUGAUAAAAACAUCGCCAGAACGCGUUAUAACCGGGUGGUGCAACAACGGAGAAACAGCUUGUGAUUGCCAAAACUGAUAGUGAUAUUCGCCAUGUGACGCCAUCUGGCGGUAAUGUUUUUGCUGAUUUGGGGUUUCAUAAGCAGGACGCAGAAAAGUUUUACGCUGAUUCCCUGAAUGAAAUC
RNAcentral lists this ribosomal RNA (3044 nucleotides) under Salmonella sp. FORC89. RNAcentral describes it as "23S ribosomal RNA". The record is from RNAcentral. Lineage: Bacteria; Pseudomonadati; Pseudomonadota; Gammaproteobacteria; Enterobacterales; Enterobacteriaceae.